Long non-coding RNA from Daphnia carinata, 734 nucleotides. RefSeq lists it as uncharacterized. Lineage: Eukaryota; Metazoa; Arthropoda; Branchiopoda; Diplostraca; Daphniidae. The transcript is spliced from 3 exons. The record is from RefSeq and is a predicted model, not a curated record.
CGUUAAUACAAAGCUGAAACCUGAACCGUGGACAACAGAAGUUUCUGUUGGUCUCCCUGUUUAAUUGCAGAUUUUUUAAACAAAGCAGCUUGAAUGGAAAAAAAACUCAACGGAUCACGGUGCUCGUUAGGUUCCCGAAUUCCUUGCCUUAGCCAGCCCAAGGAGUCCAUUUACUGAGGGUGAUCAACGUUGCGAGAAGACGUUUGUGACAAUAAAUUUUUCAGGGAGGAUCACACUUCCUUCUUCGUAGGUGGUAUACAGUACCCGCUAUUAUUGUCCGAACACCCCCGUUUCAAAGCUUUUUAACAUGGGUUCUUAUGGCGACCCGUGCCCCGAUUCUCGAAAACCCGGGUAUCCACGGAUUGCCGCCAAAAGCAGCCGCCUAUGGGCGAUCCGGGUAACCUAUUUGCCAAGAUAUUGAAAGAUUGACAAGGCUGGGGCGGUUUUGAUGGGCAAAUCGUUUUUGGUAUGUGCCUGUGAGUAAUAAACGUGUCUUACAAAAGGGCCUCUUGAGUGUCUACCACGAUCUCCCCAAUCUUGACAAUAUUAUGUUACGGCCUCGCACCGAAAGGUUUCAUAACUCAUUGGGCGCAAUAAUGUGUGUAUUUUAGAUAGCACAUGUGAUUUUAAGAGCAAUGACUGAGACAAAAUAUCGGCUGAAAAUAGUUGCAACCCAAACGAUGAAUUUUAUUAUAUAAGCUUGUGUUUCAGUACAUAGAUUAGCACAUUUUCUA